UAACAAGGUUUCCGUAGGUGAACCUGCGGAAGGAUCAUUACCAAUUCAACGGUGUGGUCGCGGCCUCCGGGGGCUCCCCCCGGGCGGUAGAGGUAACACUCUUACGCGCCACAUGUCUGAAUCCUUUUUUUACGAGCACCUUUCGUUCUCCUUCGGUGGGGCAACCUGCCGUUGGAACUUAUCAAAACCUUUUUUGCAUCUAGCAUUACCUGUUCAGAUACAAACAAUCGUUACAACUUUCAACAAUGGAUCUCUUGGCUCUGGCAUCGAUGAAGAACGCAGCGAAAUGCGAUAAGUAGUGUGAAUUGCAGAAUUCAGUGAAUCAUCGAAUCUUUGAACGCACAUUGCGCCCCUUGGUAUUCCAUGGGGCAUGCCUGUUCGAGCGUCAUCUACACCCUCAAGCUCUGCUUGGUGUUGGGCGUCUGUCCCGCCUCUGCGCGUGGACUCGCCCCAAAUUCAUUGGCAGCGGUCUUUGCCUCCUCUCGCGCAGCACAUUGCGCUUUAGAGGGGUGUGGGCCGCGUCCACGAAGCAACAUUAUCGUCUUUGACCUCGGAUCAGGUAGGGAUACCCGCUGAACUUAAGCAUAUCAAUAA
This 594-nucleotide unclassified non-coding RNA is filed under the name Paraconiothyrium cyclothyrioides. RNAcentral's name for it is "sequence contains ITS1, 5.8S rRNA gene and ITS2". The stretch from base 235 to 388 matches the Rfam family "5.8S ribosomal RNA". Lineage: Eukaryota; Fungi; Ascomycota; Dothideomycetes; Pleosporales; Didymosphaeriaceae. The record is from RNAcentral.